Lycium ferocissimum is the source of this 852-nucleotide long non-coding RNA. RefSeq lists it as uncharacterized. The transcript has 4 exons. The record is from RefSeq and is a predicted model, not a curated record. NCBI's taxonomy places the organism in Eukaryota, Viridiplantae, Streptophyta, Magnoliopsida, Solanales, Solanaceae.
GUUAGCUCUCCAAACCCUAAAUUCUCAUCAUUUGAUGACAAAUUAAUCUAGUGUUUCAUUGAAAUUUGUUCUUGAUUUCUUCGUUCAAAGUCACAAUUAUGUCGAAGAACUGUUCUUCAUUACUUCUCUAGGGUUCACGACUAUUCAAUUUUGGUGUGUUGUUUUGGGUAAGUUUUGUAUUUUUGUUCUUGACGCUGUCAUGCUGUGUGAUUGAGUGGGGAUUUUGUGAUUCAACAAGACCCAUAUCACAUUCACUUCAGCCUCAGCAUUGAGAUGUGAAUGAGCUUUCCCUAUUUCAAUUCAAGGAGAUUCCAAGAGUAUUAGCUUGAAAUUCUUUAUGGAAGAACUGGUGAUCAUUUAGUGGCGUUCUACGUUCAAGGGUCAACAAGCUAAUGAAAUUGUCCGGGGAACUCAACCAAAGCUAUCCGGAAACAAGAUCAUGCUGACUAUUUUACUAGGAUGGACUUGUGAAUCAUAAUUUGCAAUAAUGAUCGGAAGAAAAACCAAGAUCAGCAGCCAGAACUAUGAGAAGCAAAGAAUGGAAGCAUCCAGCCUCUUACACCAGAUAAUAAUGUGUUCCUGCAGACAAAAAGCUAAUACAAAAUUUGUCCAGCUUUUUCCAUACCGCCACGAAAUAUAUAAUUCCUAUAUAAUUAAUUUGAUCUAAUUUAUAAUUCAACCGAUUAUUUUUCAACUAAUAUAUUAGUUGCGUAUUAUUACAAACUGGUGCAACCAGGAUAUUUUGAUAUACGGUUGUAGUAUGUAGAGUUUAAAUUCUAUGAAUAAGUUGGAGGUAAGGUAUAUGUCCCCCUCCUUGUAUUUUGACAUGUUAAUGAAAUUUGCAUUGGGGUC